This 968-nucleotide ribosomal RNA is filed under the name Lepidosphaeria strobelii. RNAcentral describes it as "Lepidosphaeria sp. SKS-2019a partial large subunit ribosomal RNA". It matches the Rfam family "Eukaryotic large subunit ribosomal RNA", at positions 77 to 1065 of the family's 3401-position model. The record is from RNAcentral. Lineage: Eukaryota; Fungi; Ascomycota; Dothideomycetes; Pleosporales; Testudinaceae.
GCCUCAGUAACGGCGAGUGAAGCGGCAACAGCUCAAAUUUGAAAUCUGGCCUCUUUGGGGCCCGAGUUGUAAUUUGUAGAGGGCGCUUUGGCGUUGGCCCUGGCCUAAGUUCCUUGGAACAGGACGUCACAGAGGGUGAGAACCCCGUACGUGGCCGGUGGUCUUCGCCGUGUAAAGCCCCUUCGACGAGUCGAGUUGUUUGGGAAUGCAGCUCUAAAUGGGAGGUAAAUUUCUUCUAAAGCUAAAUAUUGGCCAGAGACCGAUAGCGCACAAGUAGAGUGAUCGAAAGAUGAAAAGCACUUUGGAAAGAGAGUCAAAAAGCACGUGAAAUUGUUGAAAGGGAAGCGCUUGCAGCCAGACUUGCCUGUAGUUGCUCAUCCGGGCUCUCGCCCGGUGCACUCUUCUGCGGGCAGGCCAGCAUCAGUCCAGGCGGCCGGAUAAAGGCCUUGGGAAUGUGGCUCCCUUCGGGGAGUGUUAUAGCCCAGGGUGCAAUGCGGCCAGCUUGGACUGAGGUCCGCGCAUCUGCUAGGAUGCUGGCGUAAUGGCUGUAAGCGGCCCGUCUUGAAACACGGACCAAGGAGUCUAACAUCUAUGCGAGUGUUUGGGUGUCAAGCCCGGGCGCGCAAUGAAAGUGAACGGAGGUGGGAACCCCUCGGGGCGCACCAUCGACCGAUCCUGAUGUCUUCGGAUGGAUUUGAGUAAGAGCAUAGCUGUUGGGACCCGAAAGAUGGUGAACUAUGCCUGAAUAGGGUGAAGCCAGAGGAAACUCUGGUGGAGGCUCGCAUCGGUUCUGACGUGCAAAUCGAUCGUCAAAUUUGGGCAUAGGGGCGAAAGACUAAUCGAACUAUCUAGUAGCUGGUUCCUGCCGAAGUUUCCCUCACGAUAGCAGUAACGUUUUCAGUUUUAUGAGGUAAAGCGAAUGAUUAGAGGCAUGGGGGUUGAAACAACCUUCACCUAUUCUCAAACUU